GUGCUUAAUUUUACAGCACAUAUACUAAACUAGAACCAUACAGAGAUUAGCAUGGCCCCUGCCCAAGGAUGUCACACAAAUUUGUGAAGGGUUCCAUAUUUUU
Molecule: small nuclear RNA, 103 nt
Organism: Aotus nancymaae (Ma's night monkey)
Lineage: Eukaryota; Metazoa; Chordata; Mammalia; Primates; Aotidae
Source: Ensembl